AAAGUUCCUUCGACGAGUCGAGUAGUUUGGGAAUGCUGCUCUAAAUGGGAGGUAUAUGUCUUCUAAAGCUAAAUACCGGCCAGAGACCGAUAGCGCACAAGUAGAGUGAUCGAAAGAUGAAAAGCACUUUGAAAAGAGAGUUAAAAAGUACGUGAAAUUGUUGAAAGGGAAGCGUUUAUGACCAGACUUGGGCUUGGUUAAUCAUCUGGGGUUCUCCCCAGUGCACUUUUCCAGUCCAGGCCAGCAUCAGUUUUCCCCGGGGGAUAAAGACUUCGGGAAUGUGGCUCUCUUCGGGGAGUGUUAUAGCCCGUUGUGUAAUACCCUGGGGGGGACUGAGGUUCGCGCAUCUGCAAGGAUGCUGGCGUAAUGGUCAUCAACGACCCGUCUUGAAACACGGACCAAGGAGUCGUCUUCGUAUGCGAGUGUUCGGGUGUCAAACCCCUACGCGUAAUGAAAGUGAACGCAGGUGAGAGCUUCGGCGCAUCAUCGACCGAUCCUGAUGUUCUCGGAUGGAUUUGAGUAAGAGCAUACGGGGCCGGACCCGAAAGAAGGUGAACUAUGCCUGUAUAGGGUGAAGCCAGAGGAAACUCUGGUGGAGGCUCGCAGCGG
This 609-nucleotide ribosomal RNA is filed under the name Fusarium fujikuroi. RNAcentral describes it as "partial large subunit ribosomal RNA". It matches the Rfam family "Eukaryotic large subunit ribosomal RNA", at positions 248 to 883 of the family's 3401-position model. The record is from RNAcentral. Lineage: Eukaryota; Fungi; Ascomycota; Sordariomycetes; Hypocreales; Nectriaceae.